RNA transcript from Oncorhynchus keta (chum salmon), 3975 nucleotides. It is a transcript of the gene named serine-rich adhesin for platelets-like, with no coding region annotated. The record is from RefSeq and is a predicted model, not a curated record. The transcript has 4 exons. NCBI's taxonomy places the organism in Eukaryota, Metazoa, Chordata, Actinopteri, Salmoniformes, Salmonidae.
ACAUUAACCGGAAGCAUUCCACCAGUUAGACUGUGGGAGCCUGGUGUGGUGGUAAAGGAUAGCAUGUCGAUUUGAGCAAUUUUGGGGGGUAACCUUUUUAAAUGGAAGUUACCUAGGCAAUCCUGACUUUUUUUAAAGUAUUUUUUUAAAUUGAAUAUCUGAAACAUACAAUAUACUUUCAGAGCGACACACAGAUGCCUCCAUGGUCAAAUCCCUCCAGGGCACGUUGACAGAUCUCCCACCAGGCCAAAAAAUGUGAAGCCCAACCCCCCCAAGGUUCCCCAAUAGCUGUCCCUCAACCAUUUGAUACCCUUCCCACAGACCCCCUCCCCCCCAAGAAAAACAAAAAUACAAUUAAUUCCAUUCCCCACCCCCAAGAAACCCCCAAAGCACCAACAACCAAGAGAAUGAACUAAAGAGAAAAAAGAAAGUUGAGUGCUUUUAUACAAUAUAAUUCAGAAGUUUACAUACACCUUAGCCAAAUACAUUUAAACUCAGUUUUUCACAAUUCCUGACAUUUAAUCCGAGUAAAAGUUCCCUGACUUAGGUUAGGAUCACCACUUUAUUUUAAGAAUGUGAAAUGUCAGAAUAAUACUAGAGUGAUUUAUUUCAGCUUUUAUUUAUUUAUUCACAUUCCCAGUGGGUCAGAAGUUUACAUACACUCAACUAGUAUUCCUCCAUGCAGAUCUCCUCUAGAGCAGUGAUGUUUUGGGGCUGUUGCUGGGCAACACAGACUUUCAACUCCCUCCAAAGAUUUUCUAUGGGGUUGAGAUCUGGAGACUGGCUCGGCCACUCCAGGACCUUAAAAUGCUUCUUACGAAGCCACUCCUUCGUUGACCGGGCGGUGUGUUUGGGAUCAUUGUCAUGCUGAAAGACCCAGCCACGUUUCAUCUUCAAUGCCCUUGCUGAUGGAGGUUUUCACUCAAAAUCUCACGAUCCAUGGACCCAUUCAUUCUUUCCUUUACACGGAUCAGUCGUCCUGGUCCCUUUGCAGAAAAACAGCCCCAAAGCAUGAUGUUUCCACCGCCAUGCUUCACAGUAGGUAUGGUGUGCUUUGGAUGCAACUCUGUAUUCUUUCUCCUCCAAACACGACGAGUUGAGUUUUUACCAAAAAGUUCUAUUUUGGUUUCAUCUGACCAUAUGACAUUCUCCCAAUCUUCUUCUGGAUCAUCCAAAUGCUCUCUAGCAAACUUUAGAUGGGCCUGGACAUGUACUGGCUUAAGCAGGGGGACACGUCUGGCACUGCAGGAUUUGAGUUGCUGGCGGCGUAGUGUGUUACUGAUGGUCCCAGCUCUCUGCAGGUCAUUCACUAGGCCCCCCUGUGUGGUUCUGGGAUUUUUGUGAUCAUUUUGACCCCACGGGGUGAGAUCUUGCGUGGAGCCCCAGAUUGAGGGAGAUUAUCAGUGGUCUUGUAUGUCUUCCAUUUCCUAAUAAUUGCUCCCACAGUUGAUUUCUUCAAACCAAUCUGCUUACCUAUUGCAGAUUCAGUCUUCCCAGCCUCGUGCAGGUCUACAAUUUUGUUUCUGGUGUCCUUUGACAGCUCUUUGGUCUUGGCCAUAGUGGAGUUUGGAGUGUGACUGUUUGAGGUUGUGGACAGGUGUCUUUUAUACUUAUAACAAGUUCAAACAGGUGCCAUUACAGGUAACGAGUGGAGGACAGAGGAGCCUCUUAAAGAAGAAGUUACAGGUCUGUGAGAGCCAGAAACCUUGCUUGUUUGUAGGUGACCAAAUACUUAUUUUCCACCAUAAUUUGCAAAUAAAUUCAUUAAAAAACCUACAAUGUGAUUUUCAGGAUUUUUUUUCUCUAGUUUUGUCUGUCAUAGUUGAAGUGUACCCAUGAUAAAAUGAUGGGGGGGCUGUAAUUUAAGUUGGAGAACUUGCACAAUUGGUGGCUGACUAAAUACUUUUUGCCCCACUGUAGAUAGGCACUUUUUUUUGUCUAGUUAGUGUCCCAGAUAUAACACCCCAAAAAAUUGCUCAUGAUUUAAAAAACAAAUCGUCAGGAGUAGGCAGCGCCGUAAGUGAGUAAACUGAGAUAUGUCGAAGGAGUUGAACAGUUUUUUUCUUCAUAAAUAGACAGUUAUUUACCUCUCCAUGGUUGCAGGAUCUUGUCUAUUUUUUUUCUAUAGAAAUUCAUUGCGGAGAGCUAAUUUAUAUCUUUUGUGAUACGAAUACGAAGUAUGUCUACUUCACUGUCGGACCAUUUUAUAGGUAAACUGCAGGGUAAUGUAAGAGUUGUAUUUUUAAAGAUCCAAUACGUAAUAAUGUACAUUUAUCAUAGUUAGGUUUUAGUCCAGAAAAGUUAUCUAGAUCUUCAAUGAGACAUUGCAGGGAUCUAGCUUGCGGACUUGAUAUAAAACUUGAGUCAUCGCCAUACAUGGACACCUUUGUUUUAAGCCUUUGUUUUAAGCCUUGGAUUUCUAAUCCUCUGUUGUUAUUGGAUCUGAUUUUAAUAGCUAGCAUUUCGAUGGCCAUAACGAAUAGAUAUGUUGACAGUGGACUCCCUUGUUUAACUCCUCUUGACAAUUCAAAAGUCUGAGAAGUAGCCGUUAUUUACUAUUUUACACCUGGGGUUGCUAUACAUUUCUUUUACCCAUUUUAUAGGAGAAUUGUCUCAAUUUAAUUGCAUUUCGCUAGUAUGUUUGCAUUACAACAUUUAAGUGCAAGGGGCCUCCAGUUUUUUAGGUAUACUGGGUCUUUAUAUUUGCCAUCUGGGACUUGUUUUAAUAAUAUAGAAAUCAGACCUUCCUGCUGAGUACCUAACAGACUACCAUUUCUAUAGGAGUAGUUAAAACAAUGGCGCUUUUAGUAUCUCAAAAACGGUUUGACAUACCUCUACCGGUAUGCUAUCAAGCCCUGGGGUUUUUCCAGACUGAAAGGAUUUAAAAGCCUCAAAGUUAUUCCUCUGUAAUUUGGCCUUUGGACUGAUCUGAUUUGUUAAUUUUCAAUUUUUUAUAUUAUUUGUAAAGAAUUCCUUACCGUAAUCUUCAUUCAGUGGGAGAAGAUGAGACGGAAAAGAGAACGUCUGCCUAAAAUAAUUAGCUUCCUCUUUUGAAAUAUUAUUCUGAGAAUCAUAGAUGACUCCCGUCUUCAGUAACGAGUUUCUGCAAAAAAAAAAAAAAAAACUGUACUGUUAGUUCAUUGAUUUCCCUUGUUAGUCUUGUCUCUAGCCAGAAACUUCUUUUUCAUUAUUGAUGAAUAAUGAAUUGAAUGACCUCAGAAGGUACAUUUUAAAGGUAUCUGAAACAAUAAGGGGAUUUGCUGAAAAUUCAGUUAUAAAUUAUUUUGUCUCAGUUAAAUAGUUGUCCUCCAGUAAACUUUGAUUAAAUUUCCAAUAUCCCGUCUACGUGGAAAAUCUAUAAGAGUUAUGUGAACGCCAAUUAGAUGAUCCGAUCGCAUUCCGUCUCCUAUUUAAAACGUUUUAUGCACGAGAGAAAGAUACAAAGUAGUCAAGACGACUAGCUUGAUGAACUCUCCUCCAUGUAUAUCUCACUAGGUCAGGGUUUUUUAGUCUCCAAAUAGCCACUAUUUCUAAUGUGUCCAUAAUAUUUGUGAUUUCCUUAAGGGCACGGUGAUGAUAGUUUGUAGAGCGAUUACCUUUACGGUCCAUUGAGACUAGAACAUGCAGAGAACCUUGACGAGAACCAGUGGAACCUUCUUCAGAUUACAGACCGGUUCUUCCUGUCCAUUAAUCACGCCAUUCAUGAUGGGAAACAAGAAGGAUUCCAAGAAGAAUUCCCGCCCUUCUGUAUCUCAAGACCAGACUACUGCUGAAGAUAUCAUGUUGGCACAUCCUGCCACAUUUGGACUCCCAGAGGGUCUUCCCUCCACCUCUCAACAGGAGAAGCCUCGCAAACGUCCCCUUCUAAUCAGGAUGUUUUCCACCAUCUCCAUAGGCCUAUCCAAGCCAUUCAAACGGUUUUCAAAGCAAGCUUAAUACAACAAUUUCCUUUAAUACAGUAAUAUUUGCAUUGAA